This 445-nucleotide ribosomal RNA is filed under the name uncultured bacterium. Its description in RNAcentral is "partial 16S ribosomal RNA". It matches the Rfam family "Bacterial small subunit ribosomal RNA", at positions 354 to 796 of the family's 1533-position model. The record is from RNAcentral.
GUGAGGAAUAUUGGACAAUGGGCGCAAGCCUGAUCCAGCCAUGCCGCGUGCAGGAAGACGCAUCUAUGGUGUGUAAACUGCUUUUGUACGGGAAGAAACACUCCCUCGUGAGGGAGCUUGACGGUACCGUAAGAAUAAGGAUCGGCUAACUCCGUGCCAGCAGCCCCGGUAAUACGGAGGAUCCAAGCGUUAUCCGGAAUCAUUGGGUUUAAAGGGUCCGUAGGCGGUUUAAUAAGUCAGUGGUGAAAGCCCAUCGCUCAACGAUGGAACGGCCAUUGAUACUGUUAGACUUGAAUUACAAGGAAGUAACUAGAAUAUGUAGUGUAGCAGGGAAAUGCUUAGAUAUUACAUGGAAUACCAAUUGCGAAGGCAGGUUACUACUUGUGGAUUGACGCUGAUGGACGAAAGCGUGGGGAGCGAACAGGAUUAGAUACCCGUGUAGUCC